AGUAGAGAGUGGUGGAGAGAAAGAGAGAAGGUCAGAGAGGUCAGUAAAGUCCAGACCAUGCACAGCUUCAGGUCAGGUGAAGAAUGGGAAGCUAUUGGCAGAUUUUAAGCAGGGGAAUGUCAUGAUCUAAUGUUUUCAAAAGACCACUCUAGCAGGAGUGUGGUGGAGUGAGAGUGGGUGUGGGAAGAGCAGUUAUAUGACCAUUUAAGCGAUCUUAGCAGACAUGAUGGCAGCUCUGCAAUGAAGACCAGGAGAUGAACACGGGAUACAUUUUGGAGUUGUAGCUGAUCGGGCAUACUGAUGGAUUAGAGGGGGGUAGCAGUAAGCAAGUGGUUGAUGCUGUUAGCUGGGACUCAACUGGGGCUAUCUGCCAGAACUCACACAUGUGGUCUCCUCAUGUGGCAUGGACUCCCUCACAUCAUGGCAACCUAAGACUUCUUAUAUAGCAGCUCCAGGCUCCAAAGGGGUCUUUGAAGAGUUCACCCAGGAGCUUCAAAAUGAGGAACAGUGCUUGCAAUUUCCUUGAAUACUAAGAACAUCCAGCUAUUUGUAGACAGAUAAAAGAGAGCAGCCCCCAGAGGUGCUGAUCCAGCCAAGAUAGCUCAUCCAGUUCUCAACAGGACUAAAGGACUUAUCCUAUGCCUAGUUUUUCACUCCCCUCAGAGGGUCAGGUGAACUGGGGAGCAAGAGGAACUGGCGCCUUUCCCUACUUCUCUUUCAAUUCGUUUAUUGAGGUAACUGCACUGGGGAAAAGAUUAUAUCCAAAACUUUUGGAUUGCUCGACAUUAGAUGUUAACUCUGAGCUAAUACUAAUUUCCAGGGACCCAGAAUGAACUUAUCAAUGGAUAUCAGGAAUGGAGAUGACACAUGAAUAAGCACAGUAACAAGGAUUUCCCCUCACCAGGAUGACGUGGCCUUUGCCAUUGCUGAGAACCCAUUUUGCACGCAAUGUUUUCCCGGAUAAUAAAUGACACAGCUGGGAUUUAUUCAGGUGUUCUGACUCCAAAGUCCUUGCUCCUGAUCACCAUGCGCUACCGACUUUGAGCAGUGAUGUCUCACAGAUGGGAAUGAUUCCUCUGAAGAUUGAAUAGAGAAUGCCACCAUGUGAAGUGAUAUUUGAGCUGGAACCUGAGUGAAUGAUGGAAUGGAGAAGUCAGGUACAGAGCUGUGGGGAUAGCAUCACAGGUAGGUGGGAUAGGACAGGCAAACCUCCGGAGGUGGGAGCAGAAUUGGUGCAUUGGCUGUGGUACCUUUCCAUGAUUUCCUCAUUCCAGUGUUCAUAUCUUUAGAAGAUCUCAACCCAUUGAUUGUAGGUGAUAUCUGUGAUUUACUCUAGCCAAUCUAUAUAACAUGACAAAAAUGAUGGAUGUCACUCCUGUAAUUAUUUUAUGUGAUGAUCCA
This 1401-nucleotide long non-coding RNA is filed under the name Homo sapiens (human). RNAcentral describes it as "HSALNT0322787". The record is from RNAcentral. Lineage: Eukaryota; Metazoa; Chordata; Mammalia; Primates; Hominidae.